UACAGAGGUGGCAAGCGUUGUUCGGAAUUACUGGGCGUAAAGCGCGUGUAGGCGGCUCUUCAAGUCAGGCGUGAAAGCCCCGGGCUCAACUCGGGAACUGCGCUUGAUACUGUCGAGCUAGAGUGUGGAAGGGGCGAUUGGAAUUCCGUGUGUAGCGGUGAAAUGCGUAGAUAUACGGAGGAACACCAGAGGCGAAGGCGGAUCGCUGGGCCAACACUGACGCUGAGACGCGAAAGCUUGGGUAGCAAACGGG
RNAcentral lists this ribosomal RNA (253 nucleotides) under uncultured bacterium. RNAcentral describes it as "partial 16S ribosomal RNA". It matches the Rfam family "Bacterial small subunit ribosomal RNA", at positions 524 to 776 of the family's 1533-position model. The record is from RNAcentral.